AUUGAACGCUGGCGGCAUGCCUAACACAUGCAAGUCGAACGGGGGCAGCAAUGCCCUAGUGGCGGACGGGUGAGGAAUACGUAGGAACCGGCCCACGAGUGGGGGACAACCUGGGGAAACCCAGGCUAAUACCGCAUACGCUCGCGAGAGGAAAGCGGGGGACCUUCGGGCCUCGCGCUGGUGGACGGGCCUACGUCCGAUUAGCUAGUUGGUGGGGUAAAAGCCUACCAAGGCGACGAUCGGUAGCUGGUCUGAGAGGAUGAUCAGCCACACUGGGACUGAGACACGGCCCAGACUCCUACGGGAGGCAGCAGUGGGGAAUAUUGGACAAUGGGCGCAAGCCUGAUCCAGCAAUGCCGCGUGGGUGAAGAAGGCCUGCGGGUUGUAAAGCCCUUUAAGCGGGGAGGAAAGCCGGGGUGUGAAUAGCGCCUCGGGGUGACGUUACCCGCAGAAUAAGCACCGGCUAACUCCGUG
RNAcentral lists this ribosomal RNA (474 nucleotides) under uncultured bacterium. Its description in RNAcentral is "bacterial SSU rRNA". It matches the Rfam family "Bacterial small subunit ribosomal RNA", at positions 29 to 507 of the family's 1533-position model. The record is from RNAcentral.